CGGGCCAAGUCAGCUGCUUAAUACUUGCAGGUCGAACGAGCUUCCGUUGAAUGACGUGCUUGCACUGAUUUCAACAAUGAAGCGAGUGGCGAACUGGUGAGUAACACGUGGGAAAUCUGCCCAGAAGCAGGGGAUAACACUUGGAAACAGGUGCUAAUACCGUAUAACAACAAAAUCCGCAUGGAUUUUGUUUGAAAGGUGGCUUCGGCUAUCACUUCUGGAUGAUCCCGCGGCGUAUUAGUUAGUUGGUGAGGUAAAGGCCCACCAAGACGAUGAUACGUAGCCGACCUGAGAGGGUAAUCGGCCACAUUGGGACUGAGACACGGCCCAAACUCCUACGGGAGGCAGCAGUAGGGAAUCUUCCACAAUGGACGAAAGUCUGAUGGAGCAAUGCCGCGUGAGUGAAGAAGGGUUUCGGCUCGUAAAACUCUGUUGUUAAAGAAGAACACCUUUGAGAGUAACUGUUCAAGGGUUGACGGUAUUUAACCAGAAAGCCACGGCUAACUACGUGCCAGCAGCCGCGGUAAUACGUAGGUGGCAAGCGUUGUCCGGAUUUAUUGGGCGUAAAGCGAGCGCAGGCGGUUUUUUAAGUCUGAUGUGAAAGCCUUCGGCUUAACCGGAGAAGUGCAUCGGAAACUGGGAGACUUGAGUGCAGAAGAGGACAGUGGAACUCCAUGUGUAGCGGUGGAAUGCGUAGAUAUAUGGAAGAACACCAGUGGCGAAGGCGGCUGUCUAGUCUGUAACUGACGCUGAGGCUCGAAAGCAUGGGUAGCGAACAGGAUUAGAUACCCUGGUAGUCCAUGCCGUAAACGAUGAGUGCUAAGUGUUGGAGGGUUUCCGCCCUUCAGUGCUGCAGCUAACGCAUUAAGCACUCCGCCUGGGGAGUACGACCGCAAGGUUGAAACUCAAAGGAUUUGACGGGGCCCGCACAAGCGGUGGAGCAUGUGGUUUAAUUCGAAGCUACGCGAAGAACCCUUACAGGUCUUUGAACAUCUUCUGCCAAUCUUAGAGAUAAGACGUUCCCUUCGGGACAGAAUGACAGGUGGUGCAUGGGAUGUCGUCAGCUCGGUGUCGUGAGAAUGUUGGGUUUAAGUCCCGCACGAGCCCAACCCUAUGAUUUAUUUCAGUUGCCAAGCAUU
RNAcentral lists this ribosomal RNA (1139 nucleotides) under Levilactobacillus brevis. RNAcentral describes it as "bacterial SSU rRNA". It matches the Rfam family "Bacterial small subunit ribosomal RNA", at positions 26 to 1135 of the family's 1533-position model. The record is from RNAcentral. Lineage: Bacteria; Bacillati; Bacillota; Bacilli; Lactobacillales; Lactobacillaceae.